AAAAAACAAAAAAACCUCUUAAAACUCUCUCAGCCCCUCUGACCUCCGACCAUCGAUCUCCGAUCUCCGAUGCCGGCACCACCGUCUGCGGUGGCUGGAAAGAAAAAAAACCCCAGUUUGACCUGUUAGUCCAUCCGAGCCUAAAUCUGGGCCCAAAUCCCACAAAAUAUCAAUGAAGAUACCCCUAAAAGCGGAGAAACCUUUCGGGUUCCGGUCGUCCUUCAUCGGGAACGACGCCCUCGGCCAUCCACGGCGAUCUGGGGUUCAACACACAGAUGGUUUCUCUCUUUUCCCUAGUUAUUUUAUUCGUACGCAUAUAAUGGUAAAAAACACAAAAAUAUAACAAUAGAAAAUAAAUAACAACCUUUGACUUGAUUUUGCUCUCUAUAUUGCGAAAGUAGUAGUUUUAUUUCUGAUUCCCAAAAAAAAUCCUUUUUUACAAUAUGUUCCAUGGCUUCUUAUAGCCGUAUGAAAUAAAUCUAAAGAAGAAACAAAUCUAUUUCUUUAUUUGAUUUGCAAAUCUUUUGAUUUGCUUUCCAUUUUUGUUUUCCUAGAUGCGCAGGUGAAGAUCCAUUGGAGAUUCGGAGCUUGCGGCGCGAGAUGUUGCUGUUGCUAGGGUUCUAGAAACUGUUCUCACCAUUUGGGCUAAACUGUAAUUUGGGCUUUGGGUUCGGGUCAUUUAUUUUAGGCCUAUUUCACUGUAAUUGGGUUUGGGUUUUGGGCCCGUUUAGUUGUAAAAGGAUUGAUUUAUAUAAGCCGGGUAAAAUUGAGGUAUUACACCAGGAAAGUUACAAUAUUAUAGUUUGCGAUACACAUUUUUAAAUUUACAAUAUUUUAGUAAAGCUUUUACUAAAAACAGGUUGAAAUAGAAAACAUGCAUGAUUGCUUGAAA
RNAcentral lists this long non-coding RNA (892 nucleotides) under Gossypium barbadense (sea-island cotton). Its description in RNAcentral is "long non-coding RNA (GBAR_LNC017901)". The record is from RNAcentral. Lineage: Eukaryota; Viridiplantae; Streptophyta; Magnoliopsida; Malvales; Malvaceae.